UAUAGCGCGGUUACACACAGUUGGGUGAGGCUUGUUUUGGUUUAUCGCUGUUGACUUCAACCUGCCUGUGGUCUGGCGACCUUACCCGACGAGGUGGAAAACGUUCAACUAAAUUUCACAGUGGGGUCAUGAGAUUCAAGGAUUCUUUGUACUUACAGCGUCCGGUCAUCUCAAGGAUCUUGCCGGGAUGCUGCCUUCUAUUCCUUACUUACUUCCUGAAACUGCUCAUCUGUUGUCCCUCCAUGUGAAGGAGAUCUUCAGAGAUCUUCAAUCAGUGACCUGGAAGCAAGCAGCUAUUCUUCUUGCUGUAUCAGCUAUUCUUCCUUCAUUAUUUCCUGAGUGAACUGGGUAUGGAGUGGAUGGGCCAGCAGGAACUCAUGCAGCAUAGAGCUCUGCACAAUUAACAUGGCAAAAAAAACACCUAAGCAAAAAAAGAUGUUCAACUUUUUUUAGGUUAAAUUUGUACUGUUUUAUUAUUUGUUGAAUUUUUAAUUGUUUUUGUACAGUUCCUAUUUAAUUUGAUAAUACGAAAACCAUCUUGCACCAAUUGUUUCAGAUAAUCAACGCACUGCUGUAAAUAGUCCUUUUACCUCUAAUCAUAAAGAUCAAUAGAACAUAGAUUUAAGCAGUAUUACAUAUUAAAUAUUUAGUAUAGAGAAAUAAGAAAAUAACAUUUAUUUCUUACACAAUUAAUCACAAUCAAUACAAAAGAGAGGGUUUUAGUUUUGAAAUAUACUACAUCAAUUAAAAAUGUAUUAUUUUAUUUAGACAAUAUUAAGGCCAAUUAAAUUAAUAAAACUUAAAAUGUGACCAAAUAACAUGUCUUGUUUUUGGUCUUGUCAAAUGAGUGACAGUUUUAAAAGGCUUAAACUUUAGAAGUCCAUUUAUAAUAAUUUGUAAUCACUACAUGAAACUGAACAUUGGUAUCAAAUGAAUUUCUGAAGUGAGCAGUAUAACUUCAUAGCAUGACUUUGGUUUAUAAAUGUAAAAAGUCAUAGUUUACCUUAUAAAGGUCCUGCUAAUAUUGUAUAUUCAGAUAACUACUAUAUAAUGUACAUGGAAAUGGGCAAGAGUGGAAUGGAAUUGUAAAUGUGACCAAAAUCACAUAUUGUACGUUGGGUCUUAAAAAUUAAAAUUAUUAAUUUGUACAAGGCUUCUAAUUUUAAUGUGCAUUUAAUAUUUAUUUGUAAACACUACCUGAA
Homalodisca vitripennis (glassy-winged sharpshooter) is the source of this 1202-nucleotide long non-coding RNA. RefSeq lists it as uncharacterized. The record is from RefSeq and is a predicted model, not a curated record. The transcript is spliced from 3 exons. Lineage: Eukaryota; Metazoa; Arthropoda; Insecta; Hemiptera; Cicadellidae.